GUUAAAAAGCUCGUAGUUGGAUUUCUGGUUGAAGCGACCGGUCGGGCGUUGAUUCGUCUGCACUGGAGUCGGUUUUGGCCAUCCUCUAGGAAAGUGCGUCUGGUAUUAAGUUGUCGGGCGUAUGAUCCUGGUCUUUUACUGUGAAAAAAUUAGAGUGUUUAAAGCAGGCCUUCGCCUUGAACAUAUUAGCAUGGAACAAUAAGAUAGGACUUUGGUCUAUUUUGUUGGUUUGCAGACCGAAGUAAUGAUUAAUAGGGAUAGUUGGGGGUAUUUAUAUUCCGAUGUCAGAGGUGAAAUUCUUAGAUUUUCGGAAGAUAAACUUAUGCGAAAGCAUAUACCAAGGAUGUUUUCAUUAAUCAAGAACGAAAGUUAGGGGAUCGAAGAUGAUUAGAUACCAUCGUAGUCUUAACCAUAAACUAUGCCGACUCAGGAUUGGUGGACGUUUAUUUAAUGACUCCAUCAGCACUGUAUGAGAAAUCAAAGUCUUUGGGUUCCGGGGGGAGUAUGGUCGCAAGGCUGAAACUUAAAGGAAUUGACGGAAGGACACCACCAGGAGUGGAGCCUGCGGCUUAAUUUGACUCAACACGGGAAAAACUUACC
Molecule: ribosomal RNA, 600 nt
Filed under: uncultured marine eukaryote
Lineage: Eukaryota
Description: SSU rRNA
Rfam family: Eukaryotic small subunit ribosomal RNA
Source: RNAcentral